This 776-nucleotide ribosomal RNA is filed under the name uncultured archaeon. RNAcentral describes it as "bacterial SSU rRNA". It matches the Rfam family "Archaeal small subunit ribosomal RNA", at positions 87 to 867 of the family's 1478-position model. The record is from RNAcentral.
GGCUCAGUAACACGUGGAUAAUCUACCCUGCGGAGGGGGAUAACCCCGGGAAACUGGGGGAUAAUACCCCAUAGACUAUGGAUGCUGGAAUGCUCUGUAGCCGAAAGGUCCGCCGCCGCAGGAUGAGUCUGCGGCCGAUUAGGUUGUUGUUGGGGUAACGGCCCAACAAGCCUGUAAUCGGUACGGGUUGUGGGAGCAAGAGCCCGGAGAUGGAUUCUGAGACACGAAUCCAGGCCCUACGGGGCGCAGCAGGCGCGAAAACUUUGCAAUGCGGGAAACCGUGACAAGGGAACUCCGAGUGCCCGUAAAUUCGGGCUGUCCGCCAGUUUAAAUCACUGGUGAAGAAAGGGCCGGGCAAGACCGGUGCCAGCCGCCGCGGUAAUACCGGCGGCUCGAGUGGUGGCCACUAUUACUGGGCUUAAAGCGUUCGUAGCUGGUCUGUUAAGUCUCUGGGGAAAUCUUCCGGCUUAACCGGAAGGCGUCUCAGGGAUACUGGCAGACUAGGGACCGGGAGAGGUGAGGGGUACUCUAGGGGUAGGAGUGAAAUCCUGUAAUCCUUGGGGGACCACCUGUGGCGAAGGCGCCCCACCAGAACGGCUCCGACAGUGAGGAACGAAAGCUGGGGGAGCAAACCGGAUUAGAUACCCGGGUAGUCCCAGCUGUAAACGAUGCGCGUUAGGUGUAUCGGUGACCACGAGUCACCGAGGUGCCGAAGAGAAAUCGUGAAACGUGCCGCCUGGGAAGUACGGUCGCAAGGCUGAAACUCAAAGGAAUUG